UACGAAGGGAGCUAGCGUUGUUCGGAAUCACUGGGCGUAAAGCGCACGUAGGCGGAUGUGUCAGUCAGGGGUGAAAUCCCGGAGCUCAACUUCGGAACUGCCCUUGAUACAGCACGUCUUGAGUCCGAUAGAGGUGGGUGGAAUUCCUAGUGUAGAGGUGAAAUUCGUAGAUAUUAGGAAGAACACCCGUGGCGAAGGCGGCUCUCUGGGACGGUACUGACGCUGAGACGCGAAAGCGUGGGGAGCGAACAGG
This 253-nucleotide ribosomal RNA is filed under the name uncultured bacterium. RNAcentral describes it as "partial 16S ribosomal RNA". It matches the Rfam family "Bacterial small subunit ribosomal RNA", at positions 524 to 776 of the family's 1533-position model. The record is from RNAcentral.